GAAGUGUGGUUAUGAUCUCUUUCC
This 24-nucleotide non-coding RNA is filed under the name Arabidopsis thaliana (thale cress). Lineage: Eukaryota; Viridiplantae; Streptophyta; Magnoliopsida; Brassicales; Brassicaceae. The record is from RNAcentral.